CGGACUUCCUCUUCAGCUGGACGAACACAGACGUCGGCUUCUGCAGGUUCUGGUCUCGGUACUUCGGAGUCUUGAACACGAUGGCGAACUGACGGCAGAGAAUACAUCGCCGGGUAGCAGUACUACUGACCUGUCUGUGAACAUCUGUCGGGGAGAAAUCUCCCAGAGCCUCCCAGGUCAACCCCGAGUCGUCUUCUUCGUAGAACCGAACCUGGAUGUCAUCUGGAAACACAUUUUAAAAACUUUCCAUUUUAAAGAACGCAGCGCUGUCUCUGUUCGUCCAGCACUUAAAAUGUAGAAUCCAUACAAUUUAGGAUUCUGCUUAAUAUGACAUCGGACCCCAGUCGCUGCUUGCACACUCUCUCCACCUCUAGGACUGUUUUCAGGGCGCUGUGACUCUCUGACCGCUGAGCUCCUGCUGUUGCUGUUGCAGAAACUAAUGUUUGUUGUCGAGUCUGACCUCAGCGGAAAUCUCUGCGAGCAGCUGAACUGGAGGAUUACAGGAAGUCGAGUCCAGAUCAGCUGCUGGUUCUCUGCCAAAAAAACAAACCAACUAGAACAAAGAAGAAGCAGCCGACAGGCCUGAAACAGCCUUCGCAGCCUGAUCGGUCUCUUCCGCCUGAGGGAUUUACAUACCGGCGGGGAAUUCCCUGAAGCUGGACUUCCUCCAGGAGAACAAACUGCUCCAACAAGGAAAAACUGUUCAGCUUCACUGCGUUCAAAUGAAGCUUCAGAAAAACAACUUCAGUUCAAGGAAAUUAGACCGCUGUCAUUUAUUACAAUUAAAUAUGAUUUAAAUGCUAAAAA
This is a long non-coding RNA of Siniperca chuatsi (mandarin fish), 807 nucleotides long. RefSeq lists it as uncharacterized. The record is from RefSeq and is a predicted model, not a curated record. The transcript has 2 exons. NCBI's taxonomy places the organism in Eukaryota, Metazoa, Chordata, Actinopteri, Centrarchiformes, Sinipercidae.